AAGAGUAUCGUUGUUUAACAAAAACCAUUCAAACAAAAACAUACAUUCAAAAGAGAGAGUAGAAUUUAGGAACCUUAACUACGACGACGAUAAUUAACAAAUUAAGCAAUUGAAACGUGUAACGUGCGAUAAUUUAAGAACAUCUUGCAUACGAUUGAUGAAAACCAUACUAUCAAACGAAGUGGCAGUACAAUACAGUUGGUAUGGAGCGAAAAAGAAACAAGUGUUUUCACAACUAGAGAUAUGCAAAGUAAUUAUGAGUGUGAUCCGAAAGUUACAUACAAACGUAACAGAUGAAGAAAUCGCAUCUCCCAUUAAAAUAUGGUUAGCUCACGCAAAAGAACGGAUGGGGAAAGAAAAACCACAAGUAACUCAACAACAAGAAGAAGAAGAUAUUCAUUAAUAUAUUUUAUUUUUAUUUUUAGUAUUUUUUGGUUUUUGCGAAAUAUUUU
This is a long non-coding RNA of Pseudomyrmex gracilis, 452 nucleotides long. RefSeq lists it as uncharacterized. NCBI's taxonomy places the organism in Eukaryota, Metazoa, Arthropoda, Insecta, Hymenoptera, Formicidae. The record is from RefSeq and is a predicted model, not a curated record. The transcript has 3 exons.